Molecule: ribosomal RNA, 506 nt
Filed under: uncultured bacterium
Lineage: Bacteria
Description: partial 16S ribosomal RNA
Rfam family: Bacterial small subunit ribosomal RNA
Source: RNAcentral
AUUGAACGCUGGCGGCAUGCCUUACACAUGCAAGUCGAGGGGUAACGAGAGGGAAGCUUGCUUUCCUUGUCGACGACCGGCGCACGGGUGAGUAACGCGUAUCCAACCUGCCCCCAACUAGGGAAUAACCUUGCGAAAGUAAGACUAAUACCCUAUAAUUUCCUCAGAUGUCAUCUGACGAGGAAUAAAGAUUUAUCGGUUGUGGAUGGGGAUGCGUCUGAUUAGCUUGUUGGCGGGGUAACGGCCCACCAAGGCAACGAUCAGUAGGGGUUCUGAGAGGAAGGUCCCCCACAUUGGAACUGAGACACGGUCCAAACUCCUACGGGAGGCAGCAGUGAGGAAUAUUGGUCAAUGGGCGGAAGCCUGAACCAGCCAAGUAGCGUGCAGGAUGACGGCCCUAUGGGUUGUAAACUGCUUUUAUACAGGAAUAAAGUUAGCCACGUGUGGUUAUUUGUAGGUACUGUAUGAAUAAGGACCGGCUAAUUCCGUGCCAGCCGCCGCCGUAA